UGACCUCGAAUCAGGUAGGACUACCCGCUGAACUUAAGCAUAUCAAUAAGCGGAGGA
Molecule: ribosomal RNA, 57 nt
Filed under: Metarhizium anisopliae
Lineage: Eukaryota; Fungi; Ascomycota; Sordariomycetes; Hypocreales; Clavicipitaceae
Also listed under: 3 other names
Description: partial 28S ribosomal RNA
Rfam family: Eukaryotic large subunit ribosomal RNA
Source: RNAcentral